RNAcentral lists this non-coding RNA (1052 nucleotides) under Pongo abelii (Sumatran orangutan). Lineage: Eukaryota; Metazoa; Chordata; Mammalia; Primates; Hominidae. The record is from RNAcentral.
GUCAGCAGGUCGCCCGGGUCUCUGUCUCAGUGCUCAGCAGGGCAAGGACAGGACAGAACGGGCCCCAUCACAGACUGCGCUUAGAAGGAACUCAGUAAAACAAAGACCAUUUUCAUCUGGGGGUAACUCAAGGAGAUUUCCAGCAUCACCGGUACUCAAUAUUGAAGGAAUGAAAAUAUGUGAGGAAUAAAAGCAUGAAGAAAGUGACCUCUACUGCAAGGACACAGGCCCUGAGGCCUGAGACUGUGAAGGGGGCAGGCAAAGAUCCAUGCCCAGACAGGCCACCCCUGCUCUCCUGGGAAAGGGGCCGAGAGCCAGAGAGGCCGGGGCAGAGAGAGCCUGAGUGCGAGGUCCAGGCCAGGGCCUUUACCAGCAAAGACCGGCUCUUCUGCCUGCGCCCUUUGGUCAGGGAGAAAGGCAGGGGUGGGGUGUGGUCAUCUUUCCCAAGGUCCUGGAGUCAGGUCUGCUUACCAAGCCACUGUGUGUCUGGAGGCCUCCGGGCCCAAUGGAGGUCACAUUCACUGUCCUCCCGGCCCUGUCCUGUCCACUGGGUGGCUGCCCUCUUCCCACCCUCCAGUAUUGACUGCGUUGUGUGGGAUGGGGAAGACCUCCAGUCCCCUCCACCAAACAAAGCACAAGCCAAAGUGCCCGCCAGCGUGAGUGCCGUGAGCACCAUGAACCCUCUCUAUGCCGAGGGGCACACAGCCUUGAGUGUCCACGGGGGAUGGGCCGGUGGGUGCUUUCCCUCUGCCCCAGGGAAGCGGUGGUAAUCACACCUGUGAGAUGCCCACAAUCACGCGUGCAGCCAUCCGUCUCUAGGUGCACGGGGCCUGGAAGCCCAGGAGCUCCAACAUCCAGGGAGGAGGCAUGGAUCAGAUCACAAGCGCCCACCACUGCCAUCCGUGCAUACUGGGAAGGCCGAUGGCAGAGGCUAAGGAACGGGAGAGGCCAGGAAGAGUGCGUGAAGAUACAUACCAAACACACAACGCUCAACUCUCGCAGAGCUUUCUUUAAAUGCAUCUCACUUACCGAAAGAGUACCUGAAAAACAAA